GCAGCGCCGCCGUUCGGUCGCCGAAACUAAACGUAGCUACGUCACGCGUGCGCCGGCCGCGCCAUCUAGCGGCCCGUGGCCUCGCCGCAUCGCCUCACCUGCUUCGCGCGACAUUUCUCCGUCGCGCUCGCACCAGUGGCACGUAGAACUAACCUCAAAACUCUCGCGUACCAAACCAAUCACCAAAAUAUUGUCCCUCGCAGUAUUAAUAACAGUGACUACAAUCUGUAAUACGGCUAACAGUGUUAUGAAUGUGACGUAAUCCUGUCACGCUCCUGGAUUUGCCCUGCAGUGUUGCUUCACAGUGGUUUUGAUAAAAUCGAAAGUUUACAGGACAAAUGUUCCUUUUGGUGGGCUGUCAUCGGGCAGCCCCCAAAUUUGGUGCCAUAAUGUGGUGGUUAUUAUUUUUAUGUGUUGUAAACGUUAAAACAUUCGGUGUGUUAGCAUCGAAUAGCAGUGGGACUGUAUCGGAAUCAAUAUGUUCGUUGAAGCAGUUCCAGUGUACCAACGGCAAGUGCAUACCCAGCAUGUGGGUCUGCGAUUUGGAAAAAGACUGCGAAGACAACUCCGAUGAAGAAAUUGAAGAAUGUAAAAAAGAGAGCCGCACUUGCACGCAGUCAGAGUUCCGUUGCAAGACAGGAAGAUGUAUUCCGUUGUCCUGGCACUGCGACAAUGAAAAAGACUGCCCUGAUGGUUCAGACGAGGAGCCCGGCACUUGCAAGGUGAAGUCGUGCGGGCCAGAAGAAUUCACUUGCAGAGGAAGAGACGGCGAAUGUGUCCCACUCACUUGGAUGUGUGAUGACAAUGCGGACUGCUCUGAUGGAUCAGAUGAAAAAGCAUGCAAUGAGACAUGUCGUUCGGACGAGUUUACUUGCGGCAAUGGCAAAUGCAUCCAGCUGAGAUGGGUGUGUGAUGGAGACGAUGACUGCGGCGAUGACAGCGACGAAGUCAAAUGUCCAGCACCUACCUGCCACCCUCAAACACACUUCUCCUGUGGAAACGGACACUGCAUCUCAGCAUGGUGGCGCUGUGACGGUACUGAAGACUGUCCCGAUGGAACUGAUGAAGUGGGUUGCACGGCGACUCCCAAAGUACGAUCACCAUGCAUAUCAUCAGAAUUUGAAUGCAAAGAUCGCAUGACCUGCGUCCAUAAAGCGUGGGUGUGUGAUGGCGACCGGGAUUGCCCUGAUGGAGGAGAUGAAGACCCUCAGCUCUGCCGAGGCAACGUCACCUGCAGACUAGACCAGUUCCAGUGCAAAGACCACAGCUGUAUCCCCGGGGCCUUGUAUUGCAACGGAGAUAAAGACUGUCCCGAUGGCAGCGACGAGUUAAAUUGCACUGUAUUGAAGACUGUAUGCGAUAAGAAGACAGAAUUUGACUGUGGAGGUGGUAUGUGCAUCCCUCUGUCGAAGGUCUGCGACAAGCAUCCUGACUGCCCGAACUUUGAGGACGAGCCUCGAGACAGAUGUGGGGAGAACGAAUGUGCGAAGAACAACGGAGGAUGCACACAACGAUGUGUUGACACCCCAGUCGGAUAUUACUGUGAUUGUGAUAAAGGAUACAAGCUUGUGGACAACAGGACUUGCGAAGAUGUGGACGAGUGUUCAGAUCCUGGCGCGUGUUCCCAAAUGUGCAUCAACGAGAAAGGGACCUUCAAAUGUGAAUGCCAUGCUGGAUAUGCCCGAGACCCUCGAGAUCGCACCAGGUGUAAGGCUACGGAAGGUCAUCCAUCACUGCUUUUCGCCAGACGAUUUGAUAUCCGCAAAAUAAGCCUUGAUCACCAUGAAAUGGUAGCUAUAGUCAACGAUACGAAAUCAGCUACAGCGUUAGACUACGUGUUCAGAACUGGAAUGAUCUUUUGGAGCGAUGUUACGGAUGAGAAGAUUUACAAGGCGCCAAUCGACGAAGGUACACAAAGGACAGUGGUGAUUGGAGACCAGCUGAUCACUUCAGACGGGCUCGCUGUCGACUGGAUCUACAACCAUCUGUACUGGACGGACACUGGAAAGAAUCACAUUGAAUUAUCUGACCUCCAAGGCAAUAUGAGGAAGAUCCUCAUCAGGGACCAGCUGGAAGAACCUAGAGCAAUUGCUUUGAACCCUCUUGAUGGGUGGAUGUACUGGACAGACUGGGGUCAGGUACCUAAGAUCGAGCGUGCUGGUAUGGACGGCUCCCACAGGCAGACCAUCGUGUCGUAUGACGUCAAAUGGCCCAAUGGUCUCACACUGGAUCUUGUCCGCAAACGUGUUUACUGGGUGGACGCCAAGAUGAACAUGAUUUCUUCGUGCAACUACGACGGUACAGGUCGCAGGGUGAUCCUAUACUCCACAGAUGUGUUACGUCAUCCAUUCUCGAUCACCACCUUCGAGGAUUGGGUCUACUGGACUGAUUGGGACAAGGCUGCCGUCUACCGCGCCAACAAAUUCAACGGAAAAGACAUUGAAGCUAUCACUCCUACUCAUAACCUUCAAAACCCCAUGGUGAUCCACGUGUACCACCCAUACCGUCAGCCCGAUGGUGUGAACCAUUGCGCUGCUGUCAAUGGUCACUGCUCCCAUCUUUGUCUCCCUGCACCUCGCAUCGCUGCGCACGCGCCACGCGUCUCCUGCGCAUGCCCCAACGGACUAAGACUGCUGCCCGACAACCAGAUGUGCGUCGAAGACAGUGUCCCUGAAACACCGAAGACUGGAACAGGAAUCUCAAGCAGCGGCCGCGAUGCCGGCAUGGUGGCAGGCGUCGUAGUAGCUGUUAUCUCUGGAAUUAUCAUAUUGGGAGCACUGAUCGCAGUGGUUAUGUACAGACAUUUCGUACACCGUAAUGUUACAUCUAUGAACUUCGACAACCCGGUGUACCGCAAGACUACGGAGGACCAAUUCGCGCUGGAGAAGAAUGGAUACGCACCGGGCAGCAAGCUGUACCCCAGUACCGUGGGCGAAGAGGUGAGAGCACUCACAGCUAUGGAGUGUACGCUUAACAUACAAAACAGUCUAAGAUAAGUCGCACAAGGACGCAUUGCCCUCCGCCAAGCCAAUUAACGAGUUCGUGUCUCAUAGCACAACUCACUACUUCUUCUCAUACAUUUUUAUUGUAAACUAAGAACAUUGUUUUAAAACAUCAUUCCCGACUUCUUGUGUACAAUGAAUUAUAUUAUACCCCGUGUAACUUGGCCAAAAUGAUAAAAGUGUUGUAAAUAUCAAUGAAAACUAGCAUUAUUUUACUAUAGUAAAGAUUAUUAUAAGGUCUGCCUAAGACAUUUUAAACUUGAUGUAUUUAGAGUUAUUAUAUUUACUAGAGAUUGUUUUAAGGAUUUAUAGGAAAUAUUUUCGUUUAGAUUUAAAGAUUGUGGCAAUUUAUAAUGUGCCAACAUUUUUACCGCGUCAGUAUUAAUUAAUAGUCGCCAAAUUAUUGGCUCUAAGUGGUAGGUGUAAAAUGCUGUAAAUAGUCCCUUUUAAAUAGCAAAUAUGAUUUUUGUAAUCUGCCUAAUGCUUAACAUAGACUUUACUAAUAAUAAUGUUAAUUUUACUGCCGAAAUAUUUAUUUUUCAUGCGUAAACAUGCGAGGGCAUUAUAAUGGCCCAAGAACCUCUCAACAAACCGGGUACAAAUGACUUUGUAUAGUGUACAAGCUGGAAGUAAAUACAGUAUAUUAUCAUUGAAUGUGAAAAGAAAGAGAAGGACAUGUGAUACUUAAAAUAGUGUUAUCCAGUGAAUGGGACUUAAGCUAACAUUUUUGUAGUAAACUCUAAAAAUAGUUAGCGUUAGUGCAGUGAAGUGAAGCUUAUUGGAACAAAGUUCUGUUUGCUGUCAUGCCUCGCGCCGAGAUGGAUCUCAAAAUUACGAUUAUUUCAUCGGCUGUCAUAUCACAACACUCAGUUAUUCAUACACAGAUGCAGAGAACGGCGGGUGUGGAAGGGAGCGAGGCAUUUUUAUUACUUUAAUUAUAAAAAUGUGAAGCUAUUAUGGUUGCAAAUCUAAAUUUGUUAGACGAUUUGCAUCUUUGAUGAUAUUAUUAUUGUAGCGUUAAUCGAAUGUCUGUUGACGUUCGAGGUGAGCUGGUGAGCAAUGCUUUCUGCCCUUUUCUAUAUCUGUGUCCUGUAUGAGAAAGAGAUCUUGGUAUUGCUUUUUGUACUAUUUGUAUCACAUUAUUAGAUGUUAGAAGGGACAUGUUUGCUCUAAUUUUCUCUAAACACUGUGAAUAGUAUAAACAUUCUAAAUAUUGCUUUAUCAAAUGCCAGGUGCAUUGUAAUUAUUUAUAUAGAGUAUACAAUUUUUUAUUCCACUUUAGUUGAUAAUUUUAAUAUUAUACACGUUUACAGCAAUCCUAAAACUCUAGACUUCCGCAUUCAGAGAGAAUGAAAAGCUCAUGUUUCAUAAUGAAAUGUACUUAGUUAGUAAUUUCUCAUGAUUUCCUAAAUAUUUUAAAUAAUUGAACUGAUUCUGCAUAUUUGAAUAUGAUCGUCUGAGUACUUUACUCGGACAUGUUUUUCUGAUAAAUAUUAUGAUUUAUUUAUUUGUACAACACACUAGGAAAUGUAGGCUAAUAUCAACAGUAUAAUGUGCCAAUCUUAGUAAAAUUUACAAUUGUGUCGCCAAAUUAUAUUGUACAAUACUUGGUAGUAGAUGAAUUCUCAUACACUAUAUUUGUUGCGUCGAUAAUUUAUUUGUACUAUAUGAAAUUGUUAUUAGCAUAGUACAGUUUUAAUAUGAAUUUUAUAUUUUAUGUACCAGUUGAGUUUUACCAUCGAAUAUUUUUAUGUAUUUAUAUAUUUAAUAGCAAUGAACGCAUAGUAUUUGGAAUGUGACUUUGUCAAGCAAAAUCCUGCCAAAUCCUUUAAAUAUAAAUGAUUACUCUAUUUGUAAUGUAAUUGAAUUACAUUAAAUACCUACUUGAUGCACAUUUCAUACAAUAUGCCUAGCUCAAUAAGUGUGGUCACUAAAAUAAAUUAUUGUGUAAAUAUUGUCAGUAAAAUAUAUGUAAAAGGUGUUAAUA
This is an RNA transcript of Spodoptera frugiperda (fall armyworm), 4989 nucleotides long. It is a transcript of the gene named low-density lipoprotein receptor-like, with no coding region annotated. Lineage: Eukaryota; Metazoa; Arthropoda; Insecta; Lepidoptera; Noctuidae. The transcript is spliced from 15 exons. The record is from RefSeq and is a predicted model, not a curated record.